Molecule: ribosomal RNA, 538 nt
Filed under: Bacillus sp. ML-07
Lineage: Bacteria; Bacillati; Bacillota; Bacilli; Caryophanales; Bacillaceae
Description: partial 16S ribosomal RNA
Rfam family: Bacterial small subunit ribosomal RNA
Source: RNAcentral
AGGGCUCGCAGGCGGUUUCUUAANUCUGAUGUGAAAGCCCCCGGCUCAACCGGGGAGGGUCAUUGGAAACUGGGGAACUUGAGUGCAGAAGAGGAGAGUGGAAUUCCACGUGUAGCGGUGAAAUGCGUAAAGAUGUGGAGGAACACCAGUGGCGAAGGCGACUCUCUGGUCUGUAACUGACGCUGAGGAGCGAAAGCGUGGGGAGCGAACAGGAUUAGAUACCCUGGUAGUCCACGCCGUAAACGAUGAGUGCUAAGUGUUAGGGGGUUUCCGCCCCUUAAUGCUGCNGCUAACNCAUUAAGCACUCCGCCUGGGGAGUANNGUCGCGAGACUGAAACUUAAAGGAAUUGACGGGGGCCCGCACAANCGUAGGAGCNUGUGGUUUAAUUCAAAACANCNCGAAGAACCUUACCCGGUCUGGNCAUCCUCUGACAAUCCCUAAAGAAUAGGACGUCCCCCUCGGGGGCAAAGUGACAGGGUGGUGCAUGGUUUGUCNCCCGCUCGCGUCGGGGGGAUGAUAGGCUUAAAACCCCGCAAC